CUAUAUGAUCUGGGUUUGUGUAAGUACAUGCUAUGAUGUUUGCAAAGUGGCAAAAUUGCCUAACAAUGCGUUUCCCAGAAUGUCUCCUCAUCAUUAAGCUAAGUGUAACUGUACAUUUGUACAGGAUGUCAAAUAAAAAUGAUAGUGUCAUACUUUAGCAUAAAUAACAACGAAAUAGGAAUUAGGGCAUGAAAGAUCUCUGAGCCUCAGUUUCCUCAUUAUAAAGUAAAAGCGAUGUUUCCGUAUGAUUCUGUUCCUUCUCUGUAAAAUAAUAAUAGUACAUCGCACAUAGUACUUCAGUGGAAGAUGAAUUCUAGGGGAAAUAUACUACAGUCUGUAUUAUAGAACUUUUUUAAAAAUUUGGAAUAAUUUGGAUUCCAAGUGUAAUUAUGUCCAUUAUCAAUGCAAGAUCUUGGGCAAAAGUGUAAAUAACAAUAAUAGCUAACACAAAGUGCUCCGUUUUGUGUCACUCUACCACUAUCAGCAAAGCUCACCCACUGCGCCACCUAGGCUGCUGCUUCGGGUGUACUUCCCCACAGCUCCUCAUUGCUCACAUAUGGCAUUGCUGUCAAACACACAGAACCCACUGUCACCCUCAAAUGCUGGAAACUUGCCAGCAGGAAAUUUGCGGAGAAAUUCAGGCGUGCAGUUGAUUAGAGUUAAAAGUAUGUGUAUGUCCAUCUUAUCUACCAAACUAGGCUCUCUUUGAGUAUAUAGAUUGUGUAUUGCAUGUUACUCACCAGCAUAUAUUAGGUAGACAAUAAAUAUUUAUUAAAUUAGAGAAAACUCUUUCCUAUAAAGGUAUUCAUAAUAUUCUUUGCAGCCUUGGAAAUCAAAUUAUAGUUAAGGAUUCUUAUAACACUAUAUGUCAACUUGAAAAAAUAUUACAAGAUUAAUAACAUAUUAGCUCAGUGUAAUAAAAGAAGAAUUUGCAGUUACAAAGCCUAUAUUCAAAAUUACCUUAUCAUUUUCAGCAAUGACAGUGAAACAGUCAGUGUGCUAAGUAGUGAGAAUUGAAAAAUAAAUAAGAAAGGAUCACUAGAAUCUUCAAUUCAAAAAUGUAUGUGGUCAUCUAUAUUUAUGAUGUCUACUCAAACUUUACUCAAAUACUUAUGAAAAUACUUAUGAAAAAAUGAUAGUUUCACGAUUACCAAUUAUUAGGACUAAUAAAAAUCAAUAUCAGUAUCUAGAAUGAAAUGAAUAUGAACUGAUAAAUUUUCACUGUCAGUUAAUGUCAUAUCUUGCCGUUGUUUCACAAAAUAAAUUCAGUCUGCAAUAACAUGGAAUAUGCUUUAAGUUUCUGAGAAAAAUUAUUUUAAAUUUAAAUUCUAUACCUAUCAAUAACAGGAAAGCCAUCUCUAAAGGAAGCUCCUGGCAAACUAGCUAAAAUCAUCUUUAUUAAAAGUAAACUUUGUGCAAAGAGAACUUUCACUUCCCAAUAUUUCCAGGAAAAACAAGCAUCAAUACCUCUUCUGAAGGCACCAACAUGAUUCAUAUUUCUGAAUCAAUCACUGUGGCCAAGAAAAUUAAAUGAGUUAGUUAGUCAGACAGGUUACAUCUCCAUCCAUGAAGAGACAGCAGUAAGGUCAAGAGGUCACACAUACCUAAACCCCAUGGACUAACAGUGGGCCCUUCCAAGUAUAAUCAGGUUACUGGUAUAUGAAGAAAAUAAAAGAGAUGCUGAAAAAAAAAUUAAAAUGCAGGUUCACUAUAGAAUAAGGAUGGAGAAAACCUCAAAAUCAGUAUUAGUCUAUGAUCUCCCUUCAACAUUAUUCUUUACUAAGAAUAUGUUGAUUAUUGUGCUAUCAGGUGUUCUAGAUAUGGCAAAUAAUAUCUUAUUAUAAUUAUGAAUACAGGUUUGACCUCAUAGACUCCAUGGAAUUACAUUAAAAAGCUUCAGGAAUACAUAAACUAUUUU
Molecule: long non-coding RNA, 1918 nt
Filed under: Homo sapiens (human)
Lineage: Eukaryota; Metazoa; Chordata; Mammalia; Primates; Hominidae
Description: non-protein coding lnc-POT1-3:1
Source: RNAcentral